This 501-nucleotide long non-coding RNA is filed under the name Brassica rapa (field mustard). RNAcentral's name for it is "long non-coding RNA (BRAP_LNC006513)". The record is from RNAcentral. Lineage: Eukaryota; Viridiplantae; Streptophyta; Magnoliopsida; Brassicales; Brassicaceae.
AGAAGACUUUGUUAGAAGACUUCCAGGAAAUUUUGUAGUGCAUUAUAUGUUAAAAGAUUUUUGAGGGAAGUCUUCCAAAGUUUGACUCAAAUCUAAAAAAUAAUUGCAUAUUCAAAAGCAUUCAAAUAACUUCAAAACAAAGAAAAGUUUCAAAAAUAAAGUGUGAGUUUUAAGCAACAAAUAGAGAUUUCAAAAGGUAAGAGCUUUAAGCAGCAAAAGGUAAAAAUCAGACAUGAAGACUUAACAAAACGCUCAAAUCUGUUAUAAAAAAAGAGAAAUGGGAGAACACUUGUAAGUCUUUUGGUGCAUUAUAUGUAGGAAGACUUCCCUUUAUAUGUUAGUCUUUCAAAUCUUACUUUCUUUUUAAGUCUUCCAAAUCUGACUUAUAUCUGAAAAAUCUGCAUAUUCAAAAGGCUUUAAAACAAAAAAAAAACAAAAAUAAGGUAAGAGCAUUAAAAAAACAAAAACUAGUUUUCAAAAGGUAAGAGUUUUAAGCAACAA